RNAcentral lists this ribosomal RNA (253 nucleotides) under uncultured bacterium. Its description in RNAcentral is "partial 16S ribosomal RNA". It matches the Rfam family "Bacterial small subunit ribosomal RNA", at positions 524 to 776 of the family's 1533-position model. The record is from RNAcentral.
UACAGAGGUCUCAAGCGUUGUUCGGAUUCAUUGGGCGUAAAGGGUGCGUAGGUGGUGAUGCAAGUCUGGUGUGAAAUCUCGGAGCUCAACUCCGAAAUUGCACCGGAUACUGCGUGACUCGAGGACUGUAGAGGAGAUCGGAAUUCACGGUGUAGCAGUGAAAUGCGUAGAUAUCGUGAGGAACACCAGUGGCGAAGGCGGCGAUCUGGGAAGAUACUGACGCUGAGGUGCGAAAGCGUGGGGAGCAAACAGG